Molecule: long non-coding RNA, 2311 nt
Organism: Rhopalosiphum padi (bird cherry-oat aphid)
Lineage: Eukaryota; Metazoa; Arthropoda; Insecta; Hemiptera; Aphididae
Exons: 3
Source: RefSeq, a predicted model, not a curated record
ACGAAAAGUACACAUUGAUUCUUGGCGCACUCUACCAGGGUAUUAGUAUACUACUCAUUUUAAUUUUAAUGAUAGUAUACAUUUUUGACAUUUGAUAAUAAAUUAUAAGUAAAUUAAAAAAUCUAAUAUUUUUGUAUUUUUUUUUAUAGUACUAUAGUAGGUAUAUUUUAAUAUUUAUGAAACUGUAUAAAAUCAGUUGUGUUAGAUUUUUUUCACCAAGAACUAAAAGUUAGAAUAUUAAGACAACAUAGAAAAUGUAUUGUUAUUAAUACCGGGAUAAUCAAUAGGUUUUGGUCCACCUUGACAUGUCAAUUUCCAAUCAAAAGUUGAAUACAAAACUUAUUGACAUAAAAGUCAAUUGAUAAAUCAUCUUUGAAAACUAAUUGUUUCUUAUUUUCUUCGAUGUUGGAAGUUAUUAAUUAAGGACUUAUAGGGAUUUUAUCAAUGUCUUUUCACUUGGCAAUGGUAGAGCAUCUUUAGUACGCUUCUACACCCUUCUUUUAAAAUGGAAUUUUCAUAUGUGUAGACGUCAUUCUCAUCGAAGUGGUCCGGAGUUGCAGAGUGGAGCAAUCGGAAUGAAGGCGGGGGAGAGAAUACGAAGUAGUAAUUUUUGCACUGUGCCAUGUUCGAACGCGAUUGCGCGUAUCAUGGUUAGCUGUGUGAUCAAAUGAUCAUGAAAUCAUCGCUCUGUCCAAAUUUGAGAUUGCUUGAAAAUAAUAGUAUUUCUUUAUUUUAUUUUUUUCUUUAGUUAUAUAGAAACCAUCGCCAUAUUUGAAAAUUGGAUCAUUUUAGUUAUUCCCAAAGGUGGAAAAAAUCACAAAUCAUCGUAAUUCAAUACAUCCAUCGCUCCGCUAAGAAUUUUAAACCAAUUUAAAUUUAAAUUUAAUAAAUACAAUUUCAAGCAUUUUUAUUUCAAUAAACAAAUAACAUUUUCUAUUUUGUCGUAUAAGUUGUGAUUACUCAAAGGAUAUAUUCUAUUAUAAUUAUAAUUUAUUAAGAUUAACAGAGGAUGAAAGAUUAGACAAUUUCUUAAUGGAAUAUUUAUUCAAAUUUAAAAUGUUGGUAUUAUUACAAUAAUAAAUGGUGACUAAAAUUAAAUUUCUAAGCUGAUACAAAACAAUGAAACAAUGUUAACAUAUUAUAAAAUGACUGAUACAAGUGAUACUGUUCAUGGUUACACUAUGUUGUUCAAUAUGAUAAAAUAUUUUAUUUGUAUUAACUUAAAAUAUGUAUCAUAAAAACAUAUAUAAUACUUGUUAUACUAUACUUACUAUUAAACACAAGUCUUAUUGAAUCUAUUGAAAAUAAUUUUCAGUAAUGAUACAAUUUUAUAAUAAUUUAUAAAUAAAAUUCUAUUUACUAUUUAUAGAUUUAUACAAAAACAUGAGAUAAACGUGUCCACUAAAUUGUUGUUGAUAUUAUUAAAGCAAAUUCUAAAUUUAUGUUAAUUUAUGAACCACGAAACCAUGUUUUUGUAUUUUAUGAUAAUGUUAUAUACUGUAUAUUAUUGAAUUAUUUACUACUUUCUAACUUGUACCGGUAGCGAGAACUUUUUUAUCGAUAUUAAUUUAUAAUUAUAUAUACUAAAAAUUGCUUUUCCGGCAUUCCUACUAAAUUUAAAAAAUAUUAAAUACAAGACUAAUCAAACAAAUCGUAUGUUUUACCUGUACAGGCUAAAAAUAUUAAAAAUAGUAAAUAAAACUAAUAUUUUCUGAAUUGCAUAGUAAUGUACGUCAUUUAAUCUAUAUUCAAAGUAUCACUAGAUUAAAAUAAUAAUAAUAUUAUUUUUGUGAUUUGUGUACAUAUGUAAAAUAGUGAUUGUAACUAAAUAAUUAAAAUACAUAUUUAUUAUAAAUCAGGUAGAAUAUGUCAAUUAGCAUAGUAAAGGGGCCAUUAUGAGCUUACUUUUAACAUCUGUAAAUUUAUAAACGUAAUUAGUUGAUGAGAGUUAUGAAUCGUUAAUAUUAUUAAAAUAUUAGUUAUUAUACAAUACAAUUAUAUAUUUAUUAUAUUUUUUAACAAAAAAUACUGUCUUUUAAUUUUUAAAUUGUUGAAAUAAAUAUAUUUGUAAAUUGUGUACCUAUACGAGCUAUAACUAUUAUUAACUAUAUUAAUAUUAGUGAAUAUGAACUAACUAUCAAUAAGCUAAAAAAAAUAAUAUGCUUCUUUGAAUGGUUUAAGAGUUUGUUUAUUUAUUGACAACGAUGUAUUAUUUCAUUCUACAAAAAUACCUAUAUUGUUUUUGAAAUUUAUAUUAUAUCAUAAAAGUAUAUUUUUUGUAAUAAAUAAAUGUAUUGUAAUAAUAUGUAAA